RNAcentral lists this long non-coding RNA (1938 nucleotides) under Orbicella faveolata. RNAcentral's name for it is "uncharacterized LOC110050812". Lineage: Eukaryota; Metazoa; Cnidaria; Anthozoa; Scleractinia; Merulinidae. The record is from RNAcentral.
UCAUCCGUCAGGGUACCUGGUUCAGUGCUAGUAUUCAGUGACCAUUAACAUAUUGACAGGGGUACUUGGUUCAGUGGUACUAUUCAGUGAUCCAUCAACAUACUGACAGAGGUACUUGGUUCAGUGGUGGUAUUCAGUGAUCCAUCAACAUACUGAGAGAGUGAGUUUUAUUUCCUUUACAAGUUUACUUCGCUCACACGGUUCAGAUGCUCUAUGUUAAUACCGCUCAAGACAAUUAAGGCAUGGCUCUCACUUUAUUGCACCAAAAAAUUAGAGAGGUGGUCUAUCUUCUAAGGCUUUAAUCACACUAACCUAAAGCUUUUUUAGAUUAGUGGGUUUAAAAAUUUUGUCUUAUAUAUCGGGAUGAUAUAUGCAACUUAGGUCGUGUGACUUCUUACGGCCAGCAACUUUCAAAAAAACCUUCGAGCGAAAAUGGCACCAGUUUACAUCAGCAUUCAUUUCUAGUGUAUAUGAAACGAAUUUUUUUUUUCGGUUUUUGUUCUUUUGAUAUGUGUAAAAAACUAUUCUGAGCUUACAACAGCUUUAAAAUGUUGUUGAGCCACUUUUUUGCGUUCAAAACUACUGCUAUUCCUGCCUGAAAAUUGUCACAAGGACAUUAUAUUACAUGAAGCCAUCUUCACUCCUGAUGGGAAGCGUAGGGCAUCAACCAUGGACCUCCACCUGGCUCUAUUUUUGGCAGUUCUCUUUGCCUCUAUUCAAUUGAUGUUCUUCUUGGCGAGCUCUUCUUACACACUUUGCCUCCAAGAUUGCUUUGGGCGGCCUCUUCGUCUGAACCCCUGAGGGUUCCACUCGAGGGCGGAAUGGGUGAUGUUAUUCUCAGGCUUUCGUAGCGAAUGCCCGAUCCAUUUCCACUUUCUUCUCUUAAUGCGUUCUUCUAUACGACUUUGUGGAGUCCUUUCCCAUAGUUCUUCAUUUGAGAUGACCUCUGGCCAACAGAUAUUCAGGAUCUUCCUUAAACGCCUGUUGAUAAAUGUCUACAAUUUGUUGAUCAGCAGUUUCGUCGAUCUCUAGGUUUCCGAACCAUACAGAGGGGCAGACUUCACGUUCGUACUGAAAAUCCUGAGCUUUGUUUACAAUCUGAUACAUUAAUUUUUCCUUCCACACAGACAUAACCAUCGAGGAUGUCAAUUGCGCUUUCCUUAUCCUCGCUGUUAUGUCCUCGUCAGUUCCGCCAGUUUCAUUGAUGAUGCUUCCCAAAUACGUGAACUCGGACACUCUUUCAACAGCUUUCCCAUGACGUUCCAGUGAUUCUUGGUGCCUCACGCCAGUUCGAUCUCCUUUGUUUUUUGGACGUUAUUUUUGAGCCCUACCUGACCACCAGACUCUUGCAAUCUUUCUGCUUUCGCUGUCAUAUCAACCAGUCGGUGUGUUAGUGACCAAAGAUCGUCAGCAUAGUUCAAGUCUUCUAGGCGUUGGGUCAGUGACCACUGGAGUCCCAAACGUUUACCCUCAUAUGCCUUCUUCGACACCCAGUCAAGUACCACAAGGAACAGCAAUGGCGAAAGGGCAUCACUGUCUCACGCCGGUCUUGACAUUGAUCGGCUUGGUUAUAGUUCCUCCAUGAAGCACUUGGCAAGUAAAGCUCUGAUACUUAGGUAUACCGUAAUGACGAAGAAUCCUCCAUAUAGCCUCCCUAACCAGAGAAUCAAAAGCUUUCUCACGGAUAACAAGUACAGGGGGGAUGAUCACUCGAUUGUUUGUUCUACAAUAAUCCUCAGUGUGGCAAUUUGAUCGAUGCAAGAACGAUCCUUUCUAAAUCCCGCCUGCUCGUCUCUCAGAGCUUCGUCAACAGCGACCUUCAUUCAUGACCCGGGUUACGACUUUGUUGGGUAUUGAGAGCAACAUUAUUCCCCUUCAGUUACCACACAAACUAAGGUCACCUUUUCUUGCCAGCUUUACUAGAAGACCUCUCUUCCA